Molecule: ribosomal RNA, 309 nt
Filed under: Triticum aestivum (bread wheat)
Lineage: Eukaryota; Viridiplantae; Streptophyta; Magnoliopsida; Poales; Poaceae
Description: partial small subunit ribosomal RNA
Source: RNAcentral
AGAAGCUUUGGUGUUUGGAAGAUGAAAUGGCAAAUACUUUUGAAGAUGCCAAGCUACUCAAUUGAAACCCAGAAGAUGGUAGUUGUUGAUACUAUGGCAUUGCACAACUAUGUUCGCUUUCAUGACAAAUCAGAUCUCCACUUUGUUCGAUGUGAUAGGGAUCCGGAUUAUGUGUCGACAAUUCCUGAACGGUAUAAGAAAUUUGUUGUUCUGACAAAUGCUUCAGAUACAUCAACUUUGGAGGAAAAUGGUGUUGACAUGGAUCUGUUUAGGAACCAACUUGCUACUGACAUUGCUCUAGGUUGGUGA